GACUUGGGCUUUGCUUUUAUUAUCGUCGCUGUAAUGUUUUCGAGAAGGAAAAGGCACUUGUUGUUAUGAUUGCUGUUGGCUAUACACUGACUGCCGUCUAUAUUCUUCGACUUAAAUAAGCUAACAUGAAUAUUUCUGGGUAAACACAAGUGCCCAAAACGCUGACCAGAGGUCUGCAUAGUCUCCGCUGCCAUCAACGCCAACGAACGGUUAAGCGCGACAUCAACACUUCUCCGCUGCGCCGCGGCCGACGCCCGCUGCGCCGCUGCCGACGACUUCACUUGAUUGCUAGGGACUGUGGGAAACAUUUUGUACACUAGUUUUAGUUUCAAAUGAUAAAUUGCAAUAAACGGUCGCUUGCGAUCUUCAAAAUCAAAUCAAUAAACUGUAAUUAUUAACUGGCGCCCGAACAGGGACCAGCGAAUAAACGCGAACGAAAGACAAAAUUCUAAGUCGCGGAGCAAAAUCAAAAUUUUGCUAAAAAAUAUUCGUUGGUUAAAUUGUGCCGAAGAAACUCCCGCGAGUUAUUAACAAACAAAAUUCACGGUCGGCUAUUAAAUAAAAUUGUUUGAAAAAAACAGAUUUUCCGGAAGAGGAAAAUACUUAUCGGCAUAGCAUUGCCCAUUGGUGGAUCACAUUUUCUGUCAGGCCAGCCCGCAGAAAACCUUCUUUGGAGUGCUGACGUGGAUUCCCCAGUAGCCCAGGCAAAAAGGACAACAUUCACCCAGCCAGGAGGAGUGACCGCAACAACUCUAUGUUAAAUAAAUGCAAAACGAAGAACAGCAAUUUCAUCGAAAAGGAGAAGGAAAAGUAGAAGUAGAACGCCGAGAACUAACGGAACUACAGAAGAGCAACACGGAUAACAGUUAACAGUGCAACCCAAAACGUAACGGCAGAGAUAAAGACGACGAACGGCAGAGAACGGCUGCGUGAACCAAAGCGCAGACAAG
Drosophila simulans is the source of this 950-nucleotide long non-coding RNA. RefSeq lists it as uncharacterized. The transcript is spliced from 2 exons. NCBI's taxonomy places the organism in Eukaryota, Metazoa, Arthropoda, Insecta, Diptera, Drosophilidae. The record is from RefSeq and is a predicted model, not a curated record.